CGCACAUUGGUAUUUGGGAUGUUAUGUUGUAUGCAUUUGGCAUGUUAACCAAUCACAAAUGAUUGUAAAUGCUGGCUUAGAUCAUAGAUCGCAUUUUAAUGGAGCAAAUUUGAUUAUGAAGAAGAAGAAGAGACUUUUGCCAGCUACAUUAGUUCCACUCGUUUGGUAAAAAUGAAAGGACAUUUAAUGUAAAAGUUAUAAUGCAGAAACCUCUAUUUAUUUGACAAUCUGGGAACAUGACAGCUAAGCUAAAAUAUAAAGGUUAGGUUUUCAAGAUUGACAAUACACGCAGGGUGGAUAAAGACAUGCUUCAACACAUGCAGAUGGCCUCUGUGUUUUUGUUUUAUAGUUUGCUUGUUUGGCACAGCGAGCAGGUCAACACUGCAUGAAAUCAGCACUCUAUGGCACUUGAGUGGUUUCUCAUGCUAAUUAUUGCAGUGCUUUAGUCACCUUGCUAAAAGACAGCAGUGUGCCUGUUUUUGAUGAAAAGCGUAGAGCUGGGCUGAAUUUUAAUGGUCCAAAUGCAAGAAUCAGGCUUUGAAACACAUGUGGCUUGCUUUCCGCAACACAAAAUAUAAUGAAGGUGUGAAUCUGUAAGUAAUUGAAAGCAAUUAAUUUGCAAGAUAGUUAGAGUUAAAUGUUUUGACACGCGUAGCCUAUUGUCUAUAAGAGACAGUCAUCCUUUCCAUAUUUAGGACAAAAGGUGAAAUAUAUCUUUUGUAGAUUUGUAUGAAGUUCUGUUUGUGCCAAAAGGUGUUACAGUUUUUUUUUUCUUAGCAUACUGACUUUGCAUCUGUCUGAAGUCCUCACUACUGUUUAAUGCAUGUUCUUUCAGUUGGCAUAAAGUUAUGUAUGAAUGCAAAUGAUUUAACUGAACUGAUGUGCAAAGUCAAACAACAGAGGCAAUCGACAAAGUCAAACGAGAAAAACACCACACAAUCAAACACAAGACGUGCCCAAAGUCAAGGAAAAGAACAGCAAGAAGAAAAUGUGUAAACAAAGAUGAAACGUGACAGUGAUGUACGCACAUUUCUCGUAUUCCAAACCUGGGUAACAGCCUUUUCUCCCUGUUAAGGUCAGGAAGAAGGUACCAGAUACACCAGCCCAGCACAGAGAGGCUCAGAAGGAGCUUCUACCCUCAGGAGCUGCCAGGACAGCAGACGGGAGCCUACAGGUAACUACUUUAAGUACUCUCAGUAAUCAUGGAAGACGCUGCUGUUGAAGACAAGGACGUGUGAGGAGUUACACAAAGGUAAG
Long non-coding RNA from Etheostoma cragini (Arkansas darter), 1257 nucleotides. RefSeq lists it as uncharacterized. The record is from RefSeq and is a predicted model, not a curated record. The transcript has 4 exons. NCBI's taxonomy places the organism in Eukaryota, Metazoa, Chordata, Actinopteri, Perciformes, Percidae.